Molecule: ribosomal RNA, 439 nt
Filed under: uncultured bacterium
Lineage: Bacteria
Description: partial 16S ribosomal RNA
Rfam family: Bacterial small subunit ribosomal RNA
Source: RNAcentral
CUACGGGAGGCUCCAGUGGGGAAUAUUGCACAAUGGAGGAAACUCUGAUGCAGCAACGCCGCGUGGAGGAUGACACUUUUCGGAGCGUAAACUCCUUUUAUAUAGGAAGAAGAUGACGGUACUAUAUGAAUAAGCGCCGGCUAACUCCGUGCCAGCAGCCGCGGUAAUACGGAGGGCGCAAGCGUUACUCGGAAUCACUGGGCGUAAAGAGCGUGUAGGCGGGUUAAAAAGUCAGAAGUGAAAUCCUAUAGCUUAACUAUAGAACUGCUUCUGAAACUCUUAAUCUAGAAUAUGGGAGAGGUAGAUAGAAUUUCUGGUGUAGGGGUAAAAUCCGUAGAGAUCAGAAGGAAUACCGAUUGCGAAGGCGAUCUACUAGAACAUUAUUGACGCUGAGACGCGAAAGCGUGGGGAGCAAACAGGAUUAGAUACCCGCGUAGUC